This 564-nucleotide ribosomal RNA is filed under the name uncultured bacterium. RNAcentral describes it as "bacterial SSU rRNA". It matches the Rfam family "Bacterial small subunit ribosomal RNA", at positions 338 to 917 of the family's 1533-position model. The record is from RNAcentral.
UCUACGGGAGGCAGCAGUAGGGAAUAUUGCACAAUGGGCGCAAGCCUGAUGCAGCAACGCCGCGUGCGCGAUGAAGGCCUUCGGGUCGUAAAGCGCUUUUCUGGAGGAGGAGGAAGGACCGUACUCCAGGGAGAAGUCUCGGCUAACUACGUGCCAGCAGCCGCGGUAAAACGUAGGAGACAAGCGUUAUCCGAAUUUACUGGGCGUAAAGCGCGUGCAGGUGGUUGGGUAAGUUGAAUGUGAAAUCUCCUGGCUCAACUGGGAGAGGCCGUUCAAGACUGCCUGGCUAGAGGGCGGUAGAGGGAGGUGGAAUUCCCGGUGUAGUGGUGAAAUGCGUAGAUAUCGGGAGGAACACCUGUGGCGAAAGCGGCCUCCUGGACCGUACCUGACGCUCAGACGCGAAAGCUAGGGGAGUGAACGGGGUUAGAAACCCCGGUAAUCCUAGCCGUAAACGAUGUGGACUGGGUGUCGGUGGGGUAAAAGCCAUCGGUGCCGAAGCCAACGCGAUAAGUCCACCGCCUGGGGACUACGGCCGCAAGGUUAAAACUUAAAGGAAUUGACGGA